GGGGAUUUAGCUCAGUGGUAGAGCACUUGCCUAGCAAGCACAAGGCCCUGGGUUCGGUUCCCAGCUCCA
Molecule: transfer RNA, 69 nt
Filed under: Rattus norvegicus (Norway rat)
Lineage: Eukaryota; Metazoa; Chordata; Mammalia; Rodentia; Muridae
Rfam family: tRNA
About the family: Transfer RNA (tRNA) molecules are approximately 80 nucleotides in length. Their secondary structure includes four short double-helical elements and three loops (D, anti-codon, and T loops). Further hydrogen bonds mediate the characteristic L-shaped molecular structure. tRNAs have two regions of fundamental functional importance: the anti-codon, which is responsible for specific mRNA codon recognition, and the 3' end, to which the tRNAs corresponding amino acid is attached (by aminoacyl-tRNA synthetases). tRNAs cope with the degeneracy of the genetic code in two manners: having more than one tRNA (with a specific anti-codon) for a particular amino acid; and 'wobble' base-pairing, i.e. permitting non-standard base-pairing at the 3rd anti-codon position.
Source: Rfam by way of RNAcentral